GAUGAACGCNGGCGGCGUGCUUAACACAUGCAAGUCGAACGAAGCUGUUAAAAGGAAGUCUUCGGAUGGAAUUUUAACAGACUUAGUGGCGGACGGGUGAGUAACGCGUGGAUAACCUGCCUUAUACAGGGGGAUAACGGAGAGAAAUUUCCGCUAAGACCGCAUAAGACCACAGCACCGCAUGGUGCAGGGGUAAAAUAUUAAUAGGUAUAAGAUGGAUCCGCGUCUGAUUAGCUAGUUGGUGAGGUAGAGGCUCACCAAGGCGACGAUCGGUAGCCGGCCUGAGAGGGUGAACGGCCACAUUGGGACUGAGACACGGCCCAAACUCCUACGGGAGGCAGCAGUGGGGAAUAUUGGACAAUGGGAGAAACCCUGAUCCAGCGACGCCGCGUGAGUGAAGAAGUAUUUCGGUAUGUAAAGCUCUAUCAGCAGGGAAGAAAANGACG
This 446-nucleotide ribosomal RNA is filed under the name uncultured bacterium. RNAcentral's name for it is "bacterial SSU rRNA". It matches the Rfam family "Bacterial small subunit ribosomal RNA", at positions 28 to 456 of the family's 1533-position model. The record is from RNAcentral.